This is a long non-coding RNA of Coregonus clupeaformis (lake whitefish), 800 nucleotides long. RefSeq lists it as uncharacterized. The record is from RefSeq and is a predicted model, not a curated record. NCBI's taxonomy places the organism in Eukaryota, Metazoa, Chordata, Actinopteri, Salmoniformes, Salmonidae. The transcript has 4 exons.
UUCAGCUAUUUCUGUUAGUGUCUAGUAAACCUUUCUGUGGCCUGUUUAGACUUUUCCUUGCUUUAUAGGUGUGUGUCAGGGCCGAAGACAUCCUGGCCGAAGACACUCUUUGAAAGGCUGAGGAGGCAGGAGGAGAUUAACGUAAUUGUUCUCAGAAAUGUGGCCAAAGCCCAGGAGAGGACGAGGAAGCGAAAACUAGCAGAAGGGGACCAUGUCGUUUUUUAAGGUCGGCGACAAGGUCCUGCGGAGGAAAGGAGGCAAACUGGAGAGGGACAACCUGGGCCCAUACACGGUCACAAACAUUGAGGGGAAGAGUGUUGACAUCAGGAAGGGUAGGGAUGGACAGCUCUUCCCCAAGAUAAACCUGGACCACCUCCUCCCCCUCCGUCCCACCUGUUUCCUCGGGACCUCCUCCCCCUCCGGCCCUCCUGUCUCCUACUUCUGUGUAUAUUGUUUGAAAAGGUUAUGUAACCAAAAGAGCAGAAGGUGACCUACCUAAACUCUAUGCAUGGGGGGAGCAGAGGGAAAGCAAAGCCAAAACUAACAGUUAAUGGAAAUGCCAGGCUGCAAAGUCCCUAGGUGGAAAGCCUUCAAGGUCCCACACCCCUAUCAGCUGGAUUACCGUUCAUGUGGAGUGUUUAUGUGCAAAAACAUCAACAGACUGUGCAGAGUUUGUGGAAAAAUAACCACACCUGAUGGAACAACAGAAACUUUAUGGCUGCCACCGAUGGUUCCACAUUGCAUGUGUGGAUUGGCAUUCAGUGUCCCAUUCUCUAUGUUUUGUAGGUCAGCGUGAGCCG